RNAcentral lists this transfer RNA (71 nucleotides) under Thermanaerothrix daxensis. It matches the Rfam family "tRNA". Rfam says of the family: Transfer RNA (tRNA) molecules are approximately 80 nucleotides in length. Their secondary structure includes four short double-helical elements and three loops (D, anti-codon, and T loops). RNAcentral also lists the same sequence under 5 other names. Lineage: Bacteria; Bacillati; Chloroflexota; Anaerolineae; Anaerolineales; Anaerolineaceae. The record is from Rfam by way of RNAcentral.
GGCGACGUGGCCAAGUGGCAAGGCAAGGGUCUGCAAAACCCUGACCGCGGGUUCGAAUCCCGCCGUCGCCU